Molecule: ribosomal RNA, 426 nt
Filed under: uncultured Rhodocyclaceae bacterium
Lineage: Bacteria; Pseudomonadati; Pseudomonadota; Betaproteobacteria; Rhodocyclales; Rhodocyclaceae
Description: bacterial SSU rRNA
Rfam family: Bacterial small subunit ribosomal RNA
Source: RNAcentral
GCAACGCGAAAACCUUACCUACCCUUGACAUGUCCGGAAUCCCGAAGAGAUUUGGGAGUGCUCGCAAGAGAACCGGAACACAGGUGCUGCAUGGCUGUCGUCAGCUCGUGUCGUGAGAUGUUGGGUUAAGUCCCGCAACGAGCGCAACCCUUGUCAUUAGUUGCCAUCAUUUGGUUGGGCACUCUAAUGAGACUGCCGGUGACAAACCGGAGGAAGGUGGGGAUGACGUCAAGUCCUCAUGGCCCUUAUGGGUAGGGCUUCACACGUCAUACAAUGGUCGGUACAGAGGGUUGCCAACCCGCGAGGGGGAGCUAAUCCCACAAAGCCGAUCGUAGUCCGGAUCGCAGUCUGCAACUCGACUGCGUGAAGUCGGAAUCGCUAGUAAUCGUGGAUCAGCAUGUCACGGUGAAUACGUUCCCGGGUCUU